UAGCCCUACGGGACGCAGCAGUGAGGAAUAUUGGUCAAUGGUCGGGAGACUGAACCAGCCAAGCCGCGUGAGGGAGGAAGGUACAAAGUAUCGUAAACCUCUUUUGUCAGGGAACAAAGGCGGGGACGUGUCCCCGGAUGAGUGUACCUGAAGAAAAAGCAUCGGCUAACUCCGUGCCAGCAGCCGCGGUAAUACGGAGGAUGCGAGCGUUAUCCGGAUUUAUUGGGUUUAAAGGGGGCGCAGGCGGUCUGUUAAGUCAGCGGUCAAAGCCCGGGGCUCAACCCCGGCCCGCCGCUGAAACUGGG
RNAcentral lists this ribosomal RNA (305 nucleotides) under uncultured bacterium. RNAcentral's name for it is "bacterial SSU rRNA". It matches the Rfam family "Bacterial small subunit ribosomal RNA", at positions 334 to 637 of the family's 1533-position model. The record is from RNAcentral.